AUUGCCCCCACAGGCGUUGCAGGCUGGCAUGAUGUGCCAUGCUUGUGUCAUUGGGUGGCAGAGAUUAACCUGGCUGUGUCUGUGUGAUUUUAUGGGCCUGUGGGU
Molecule: small nucleolar RNA, 105 nt
Organism: Pelobates fuscus (common spadefoot toad)
Lineage: Eukaryota; Metazoa; Chordata; Amphibia; Anura; Pelobatidae
Product: small nucleolar RNA SNORA17
Exons: 1
Source: RefSeq, a predicted model, not a curated record